This 523-nucleotide ribosomal RNA is filed under the name Enterobacteriaceae bacterium EndW37. Its description in RNAcentral is "bacterial SSU rRNA". It matches the Rfam family "Bacterial small subunit ribosomal RNA", at positions 1 to 527 of the family's 1533-position model. The record is from RNAcentral. Lineage: Bacteria; Pseudomonadati; Pseudomonadota; Gammaproteobacteria; Enterobacterales; Enterobacteriaceae.
CCAGAGUUUGAUCAUGGCUCAGAUUGAACGCUGGCGGCAGGCCUAACACAUGCAAGUCGAGCGGUAGCACAGAGAGCUUGCUCUCGGGUGACGAGCGGCGGACGGGUGAGUAAUGUCUGGGAAACUGCCUAUGGAGGGGGAUAACUACUGGAAACGGUAGCUAAUACCGCAUAACGUCGGACCAAAGAGGGGGACCUUCGGGCCUCUUGCCAUCAGAUGUGCCCAGAUGGGAUUAGCUAGUAGGUGGGGUAACGGCUCACCUAGGCACGAUCCCUAGCUGGUCUGAGAGGAUGACCAGCCACACUGGAACUGAGACACGGUCCAGACUCCUACGGGAGGCAGCAGUGGGGAAUAUGCACAAUGGGCGCAAGCCUGAUGCAGCCAGCCGCGUGUAUGAAGAAGGCCUUCGGGUUGUAAAGUACUUUCAGCGGGGAGGAAGGUGUUGAGGUUAAUAACCUCAGCAAUUGACGUUACCCGCAGAAGAAGCACCGGCUAACUCCGUGCCAGCAGCCGCGGUAAUACG